Molecule: non-coding RNA, 1552 nt
Organism: Lolium perenne
Lineage: Eukaryota; Viridiplantae; Streptophyta; Magnoliopsida; Poales; Poaceae
Source: RefSeq, a predicted model, not a curated record
GUUCUCUCUUCUCUCCCACUGCAACACACGCAAGCAGCGCUGCUCUCUGGGCGACUGGUGCUCGCUCGAUAUCCGCAACGCUCUCACGCGCGCAGCGCUGCUGCGGCUCUCUUCUGGCUCGCGGUGCACACGCUGCUAACUCGCGACGCAACAUCCAGGACCCUACACGAAAGAAUGCCACGAUCCCACACAUCCCUCAUGCAUGCGUUCGUACGGAGAGCUACGUGAUUUGAUUGAUAAAAGUGAACCGUCUUCGACUACCAAAAGGCAAGUGACACACCCUCACAAAUGUCCUAGAUUUUAUUUAUGCACCGUAGUGAUUUUUUUUGUAAGUCUAGGGUAUGCUUUUCUUUUGUAAUCCUAGUAGAUAGCUACUUCCACCUUACUAUAUUUUGUCGCCACUGAAUUUAGUUGAUGCUCAUCUAUGCUAUGAAAAUGUUUUAGUAGUGGUUAUGGAAAAACAACUAAAUUCAAUGAACUACUUGGGUGGAAUGUGGCUUGGAUUGGGUUAUGUUGAUUGGUUACUCUGGGGACAUGUCGUCGAACCUCUGAACCCCAGGUGUAUCACACUUGUGGACGGCAACCCAGGAACAAAGAGAUAAUAGACAACCUUGCUCAUUAGCUUACCGUACAACCACAUGCUAUAUGGGCUCUGGCUUGACAGAGUAUGUUGUGAGAACCCGGAUCCUACGUGACAGAUGAUGUAGGGGAUUGUAGGUUGGUACGGGUCCGUAGAGAAAGGUCUGGGGGAUUACUUCGGAAAAGUCUCGUCCUAGUCAACAUCUGUCCAUUUGAGCAAAAUGUGCAUCAUGGAAGAAGAGCAGACUAGGUCAUGUGAGUAAAUUGUACAACCUCUGCAGAGUGUAAACCUAAGUACUUAGCCGUGUCCCCGGUUACGGACAAUUUGAGCGAACUGACAAGGCACAUGUUCGAAAGUCUCCUCGUCCCAACUUCUUAAAUAAAACUUGAUGGGUGAACAGGGUUAUGACAAUUGGUGUAAGUGACUAUCGGCUAGUAGGUCCCGUGCCAUGUCUAUGGUCUGAGUCUACAGGGGUAGUUCGCCCAAACCAAGUUGAUCAUGGGUAGGAGGAUUCACCGGGGAUUUACCGGUGGUUUCCAGGUUCAUUGAUUUCUAUCAAUGGUACCGCUUAAUUAGUAUGAAAGAAAAUGAUUUCACAAAUCAUAGGAGAAAACUGGCUUUAUGCAAAUAUGCCUGAGCUCUACCAGCCAAAUGUACACUUAAGUGUUAGGUUGCCAUUUGAGUCCACUAUAGUGUCAUCUUGCCAAUACAUUCAAAGUACUGACCAUUCGUGGCUGUAACUUUUCAUGUUGCAGAUGUUUUGAAAGACGAGCGAGUUACGAUGGUUAGGGUUACGAGUCUAUCCUCAACAUGCUCGCCUGUGGCACAUGAAGACGAAGGACUCCAUGCUGUCUAUGUUUUUUUUGGUUGUGAAACUCUGAUGAUAUGCUAGCCUCGUGCUAUGCAAUUUGUAAUCCUUUAUGUAAAUUCUGGAUCAUACGAUGUAAUAAAGACCCUUGUUUCUUUGUAUUA